AGAUUUUAUUUAUUUAUUCAUGAGAAACACAGAGGGAGAGGCAGAGACACAGGCAGAGGGAGAAGCAGGCUCCCUGAAGGAUCACGCUCCAAGCCAAAGGCAGAUAUCAACCACUGAGUGACCCAGGCAUUCCAAAUUUGUUUUAUUUUUGUUGACCGUGACAUGCUUUUUGGGUAUCUGACAUGAUUCCAGUUGUUUCUCUACGUCCUCUGUCCUCAGCAAGCUGCGUGUGAUUCCAGGUUGCUCAGCUCCUCUGUCCUACUCGUCGAAUUGAUCAUCCAGGAUGCAAAGAGCAGGCAACUACACAGUAACUUGAGCAUAACAAUAUGCUUGUAGCAAUAAGUCUGCAAUGGAUAUUCUAGGCUUGGGGCAGGGGCUCAACAAAAUCACCCAGAAAUGGCUGUUUCUUCCCUCUGCCUCCCACUGUGGGUUUUCUUGUCCUCAGGCUUGUCACUUCAGAGUUGCAAUGUGGCUGCCUUGGCGCCAGGAAUUAUAUUCUCAGCCAUGCUUCUCCGGCAUGUCUGGCUUUUUGCAGCAAACAAAAUUAUUCCCAGAAACGUUGCCAGAAGGUCUCUCCUAUCUCUCUAGCCCGACUGGGUAAUGUGGCCGCCUCCGGAGCUAAACUCUGGGAAAUGUGAAUGAGAUUACACUAAGAUCAUCAUGAUCUACCUGCUGGGGUUGGGCAUCCUGCUUCCCUUCACAAAAUUAGAGUGAAAGAGUAAUUUUAAAAUUAGAGUGUUAUGAAAGAAGGCAGAAGACCAUGGCAGUGAAUAGAGUCUUUUCUCCCUUCUGCAUUCUGGAAGUGUACUUUUCCCUUCUGGUGUCCCCAAAACUCACGGAUGGAAGCAAGCCCUGGGAAUGUUGAGAGGGAAAAGUGCAGCCGGCAGGUUACGUACAGCUGAGGUGUCGGAUCUGAUUGGAGUGACCUUGGACUCGGAUCCUAUCCUGAUGUUAUCAGUUACCCUGGAGGAACUAUUAGCAGACCCUAAGAACUGAUUUAAGUUGCUCAACCUCAUAGAAGGCUGAUUGGUAAACUCUAAUCUGUACACCUAGAGUGGAACAUCCUUUCAAAGAAGAAUUUGCAGCGGGCAGUUUAUCUGUGCUGGCUCCGAACCUACCCUGUAUACUGUGCUUAGUGGUGUUGGAGCUGGAAGCUGGCAAACCCACACUCCUGCAGGCUCACGGUUUGGCUCUGCCAGUAAGAGACUGCAGUGUUGCGAGGCUGGGAUGGGGAGAAGGGGCCUCCUCCUCCUAUCUGCUGCGGGGCUGCCUGGGGGCUCCUGGGAGCCUCAUUCCGAGGCCUCUCCAUUCUGGUGGCAGCAGCUGCUGAGCCUGGUAUGAGACUUUCCCAACACUUAAGAACCAGCAUGGUCAGAUCCCCCUCAGAGACCAGAGGCAGGUAGUGCAGCGCCCCUGCUCCUCUAGGUUUCUAAAUUGUAAUAAUCCUGACUUCUUCCUUUCAUUCCCCCCACCAGAUCAGUGGUAGAUGCUUCCUGCAGGUGCUACCUGUAUGAUGCCUUGGAAAUCUCUCUUUACCCUUUUAAUUACCCAGUUAACAAUUUUCUAUGUGUUAAUCUUUAUUUUCAUUUUAUUUUUUUAAAAGAUUUUAUUUAUUUAUUUAUUCAUGAGAGACACACAGAGGGAGGCAGAGACACAGGCAGAGGGAGAAGCAGGCUCCCUGUAAGGGAGCCCAUGUGAGACUCGAACCUGGGACCCCGGGACCAUGACCUGGGCCAAAGGUAGAUGCUCAACCGCUGAGCCACCCAGGUGCCCUGUAUGUGUUAAUCUUCAUGUUAAAUUCCCUGUUCAAAUAAUUGCUGUGACUUCUCUCCACUGACCAGACCUGACUCAGUGGCACUGUCGUGAAGACACAGAUGGCCAAAGGUUGAUGUUGGCACUAAUAUCUGAAAUUCGCAAAGGGACCUGAAAUCCUCCAUACUUCCUCACACCAAGUUACCUACUAUAGCAGUAGCUGACCUUUGGUAAGCCUCCAAAGGAGAAUAAGGACAGCUAAAAGCCAUUGUUUGUUAUUACAAUAAGGGGUUGGACACACACACACUCAUGUGGAAGCCCUAAUUUUCGGCUGAGCAGAGCUAGACCUGGUGAGAGCCCAUCUGAUUCGAAGGAGUCUGACCAUCCACCCUUUUUCUGGGCCCCUUUCAAAGCCUCAGGCAAGGAACAUACAGAGGCCUCUCUUGUCACCACCCAGUCCCAAAAAUCAUGGGACCAGAACCAGCAACAGUGAUGAGUAGUGCCGGCAGAUAUCGAAAGAAGAAAAUCCAAAGACCAGAAAUCUCAA
This 2299-nucleotide long non-coding RNA is filed under the name Canis lupus familiaris (dog). Its description in RNAcentral is "lncRNA (ENSCAFG00000053597.1)". The record is from RNAcentral. Lineage: Eukaryota; Metazoa; Chordata; Mammalia; Carnivora; Canidae.